This is a small nucleolar RNA of Aspergillus fumigatus Af293, 248 nucleotides long. It matches the Rfam family "Small nucleolar RNA snR191". Lineage: Eukaryota; Fungi; Ascomycota; Eurotiomycetes; Eurotiales; Aspergillaceae. The record is from Rfam.
UGCCAUUGCUAAGUCAAGUCUUCUUCCUGCGACUUUGUGUCGUGCUUUUCUCCAUGGAAGUUUGUCUGUUACAGCUCUGGCAGAUUGACGCUGGCCCGUGCCGAAUUUCAUUCUGAAGCUAGGCUGACCAGUUUUCGUUUUGAAGACUGGUCGUAAAGGGCUAAGUUGUGUUCUGUUUGUGAGUUGAGUGCUGCUUCUGCCUUAUCGGCGGCUUCGUAGCAGUCCUCUUAGUAACAUUUCACACAUCU